CGUAGGGUGCGAGCGUUAAUCGGAAUUACUGGGCGUAAAGCGUGCGCAGGCGGUUCGUUAUGUCCGAUGUGAAAGCCCCGAGCUUAACUUGGGAAUGGCAUUGGAAACUGGCGGGCUGGAGUGCGGCAGAGGGGGGUGGAAUUCCACGUGUAGCAGUGAAAUGCGUAGAGAUGUGGAGGAACACCGAUGGCGAAGGCAGCCCCCUGGGCCGACACUGACGCUCAGGCACGAAAAGCGUGGGGAGCAAACAGGAUUAGAUACCCUGGUAGUCCACGCCCUAAACGAUGUCAACUGGGUGUUGGGGAAGCGAUUCCUUGGUACCGUAGCUAACGCGUGAAGUUGACCGCCUGGGGAGUACGGCCGCAAAGGUUA
Molecule: ribosomal RNA, 372 nt
Filed under: uncultured organism
Description: bacterial SSU rRNA
Rfam family: Bacterial small subunit ribosomal RNA
Source: RNAcentral